Molecule: ribosomal RNA, 205 nt
Filed under: uncultured bacterium
Lineage: Bacteria
Description: partial 16S ribosomal RNA
Rfam family: Bacterial small subunit ribosomal RNA
Source: RNAcentral
GGAUUGAAGGCUGAAAUUCGCCUUCAUGAAGCUGGAAUUGCUAGUAAUGGCAGGUCAGCAUACUGCCGUGAAUACGUUCCCGGGCCUUGUACACACCGCCCGUCACACCAUGAGAGUUGGGAAUACCCGAAGCCUGUGAGCUAACUUUUAGAGGCAGCAGUCGAAGGUAGAAUCAAUGAUUGGGGUGAAGUCGUAACAAGGUACC